RNAcentral lists this long non-coding RNA (254 nucleotides) under Arachis ipaensis. Its description in RNAcentral is "long non-coding RNA (AIPA_LNC000085)". The record is from RNAcentral. Lineage: Eukaryota; Viridiplantae; Streptophyta; Magnoliopsida; Fabales; Fabaceae.
AGAAAUAGAACCGUCUUUUCUGUAUAUUCUCCCCGGUUCCGUUGCUACCGCGCGCUUUACGCAAUCGAUCGGAUCGUGUAGAUAUCCCUUCAACACGACGUAGGUCAUCGAAAGGGUCUCGAAGACUCACCAAAGCACGAAAGUCGGGAUCUUUCAGAAAAAUGGAUUCCUAUUCGAAGGGUGCAUAACCGCAUGGAUAAGCUCACACUAACCCGUCAAUUUGAGAUCCAACUCGGGAUUUUCCUUGGGAGGUA